RNAcentral lists this transfer RNA (74 nucleotides) under Flavobacteriaceae bacterium. RNAcentral's name for it is "tRNA-Met". It matches the Rfam family "tRNA". From Rfam's summary of the family: Transfer RNA (tRNA) molecules are approximately 80 nucleotides in length. Their secondary structure includes four short double-helical elements and three loops (D, anti-codon, and T loops). RNAcentral also lists the same sequence under 1 other name. The record is from RNAcentral. Lineage: Bacteria; Pseudomonadati; Bacteroidota; Flavobacteriia; Flavobacteriales; Flavobacteriaceae.
GGCGAGAUAGCUCAGUUGGUCAGAGCGUCGGAUUCAUAACCCGGAGGUCGGGAGUUCAAGUCUCCCUCUCGCUA